RNAcentral lists this ribosomal RNA (278 nucleotides) under Ixodes ventalloi. RNAcentral's name for it is "partial 16S ribosomal RNA". Lineage: Eukaryota; Metazoa; Arthropoda; Arachnida; Ixodida; Ixodidae. The record is from RNAcentral.
UCUGCUCAAUGAUUUUUUAAAUUGCUGUGGUAUUUUGACUAUACGAAGGUAUUGAAAUAAGAUUUUAAAUGAGUGCUAAGAGAAUGGUUGAACAAUUAAAGACUUUCUUUAAUUAAAAAAUUAAAUUUAAUUUUUUAAAGCGCAAAAGCAAAAAUGAAAAUUUGGGACAAGAAGACCCUAUGAAUUUUUAUUUAUUUUUUAAUUUUUAAAAAUUAUUAAAAUAAAUUUGAUUGGGGCGAUGGAUAAAGAGUAGAUAUCUUUAUUUAAAUUUAAAAAAU